This 1924-nucleotide long non-coding RNA is filed under the name Lathyrus oleraceus (garden pea). RNAcentral's name for it is "Pisum sativum (pea) long non-coding RNA (PSAT_LNC020596)". The record is from RNAcentral. Lineage: Eukaryota; Viridiplantae; Streptophyta; Magnoliopsida; Fabales; Fabaceae.
UUGAAAUGUUAUAUGCAAUUAAUCAUAACGCGGCGAAAUACUAUCAAUAUAUCGAUAAAAUAACCAUGGAAUAACAACAUGGGAAUUGUUGAAUCCAUAAAUUAAAAUCGACGUCUAAAAAUAACGAUAAAAGAAUAACAACAAAAGUCGAAAAAUGAGAAUAAAAUAGAAUCAAAAGGGUUAAUACUAAAAUAGAACCUAAAUUAAUCAAGGAUGAAAUUUAUGAUCCUAUAAUAAACCAAAAGUGUUUAUUAAUAUAUAUAGUGAAUAAACUAAAAUAAGAUGGGGCAACUAAAGCGCAACCCAGGGUAUUGAACCGUGACCCUGGAAAUGCAAUCUUAAGCUUUACCACUCGACCAGGAUCACCUUGUUGUUAACUUAAUGCAACCAGCGAUAUACAUACAAUCGGACUGCGUUGAAAACAAUAAAAAACAAACAGAAACCAGAAGCUCAGUAGCAGCAGCAUAAACCAGAAUCAUCCUAGCUACACCAUAACCUCAAGGGUCAACAAACCAAGAUAUUAUUCUUAUAUUACAACAGUGUUAUAAUUUUAUUACAUCAAAAUCAACAUAAUAAAAAUGAGAAAAUAACAAAAAUAAAAUAAAUAAAACAAACGACUUAUAAAAAAAGAGAAACAAAUAAAUAAAUAAAAGAAUGCACCGUGUGGUGUAAAAAACAAACUAAAUGGACUUCAAACAAUUGUUAGAAACAAGCCGAACAACAAAAAUAGUACUAUUUUUUUUAUCUUUCCUAUUUUAAUUAAAACUAACACUAAUUAAAAUGAAUAAUAAAAAUAAUAAUAAAAAUAAAAAGUAAAUAAACAAAAUGAUGCUGGUCAUGGACGACGCUCCAUUCUCACGUUCCCUCACAUCUGUUUUUUUGAAAUUUCUAGCAAGGCCAAAUAGGUAGUGACACGUGGCCAUGGAAUUAAGAAAAGAAAUUAAAAAAAAAACUACAACCUUCUCUUGUCAUCUAUCUCUCACAUAAACUACAGCAAACAGAGAAUUUGUUUCUCACAAUCUCAUGUUAUCUCUCUUUGCUCUCUCUUAUAUUUCCAAACAACAAAACAACAACAUGGUCCGUAUCUCUCAAAUGAAAACAAAUAGAAACACACCAAAAAUAUAGCAUGGAAAAAUCAUAAGAAAACCGAAAUAAGAUAUAUACCGUUCACUAGCUUCUGGUGAGUUUUGAGUUUGCAACGACGAUGUGUAUAGCAGUGAAAAGUGAAGAAAUCGUAGUUGUCGGUACUACUACUACGGGGUUUUCAGCUUUGACGGUUGAGCUUGGAUCUUGGGUUGUGCAUAAGAAGUUGAUGCGUGGAGCCUUCUUCGAAAGCGUCACCGGAAUGGCUUGGCGGUGGUUUCGCGGUUGUUCAAGGAGGAAUAUUUGAGGGGUUAUUUGGUGAAGGAAGGUAGAGGGAUGUCGCGCGUUGGAAGGCUCUCACUGAUGAAGAAAAACAGAGGUUGUGUGAUGCUGGUUUUGGGUUUUUGGAGGUUGCGGAUAUGGAAAGGGUACCGUUCCAAAACGAGAGUGAAAGGAGAUUAUCGUGGGUUUUUUUUCUUUUUGCAGUGGAAAUAAAGUGUUUUCUUAUGAAGAGGAAGAAAUCCUCUUUUUUGAAAAAACAAUGAGGCCUUUUUCUUUUAAUUUUGUGGUCCCUUUUUUUUAAUGAAAAUUUUUCACUGUCCUCCUGCCACGCAGAAAGAGACGUUGAGAGUCCUUAGUAGAGGACAAGACGUGCCAUAGUUGUCCAUGAAAACGAAUGACGUGUUUCCACUCACAUCUUCCAACCGAUUCAAAUAUUAAUGGCCACAUAGCACAUGAAGAGUGGAGGAGUAAAUAUAUUUUCAAUUUUUUUUAUCUUUCUUUGAUAAAAUAAAUUAAAUGAGCAUAACUUUAAAAAUUAAUAUAAAAAAAACGACACAAU